UACGUAGGGUGCGAGCGUUGUCCGGAAUUAUUGGGCGUAAAGAGCUCGUAGGCGGUUUGUCGCGUCUGCCGUGAAAGUCCGGGGCUCAACUCCGGAUCUGCGGUGGGUACGGGCAGACUAGAGUGAUGUAGGGGGAGACUGGAAAUUCCUGGUGUAGCGGUGAAAUGACGCAGAUAUCAGGAGGAACACCGAUGGCGAAGGCAGGUCUCUGGGCAUUAACUGACGCUGAGGAGCGAAAGCAUGGGGAGCGAACAGG
This 256-nucleotide ribosomal RNA is filed under the name uncultured bacterium. Its description in RNAcentral is "partial 16S ribosomal RNA". It matches the Rfam family "Bacterial small subunit ribosomal RNA", at positions 524 to 776 of the family's 1533-position model. The record is from RNAcentral.